CUGUCGGAGGGGAAGACAAAAAAGAACGGUACCCUCCAAGAAAGCCCGGCUAACUACGUGC
Molecule: ribosomal RNA, 61 nt
Filed under: uncultured bacterium
Lineage: Bacteria
Description: partial 16S ribosomal RNA
Source: RNAcentral